Acanthosepion pharaonis is the source of this 112-nucleotide non-coding RNA. NCBI's taxonomy places the organism in Eukaryota, Metazoa, Mollusca, Cephalopoda, Sepiida, Sepiidae. The record is from the annotation of a GenBank genome assembly.
ACAGCUAUAUCACAUUGAAACACUGGUUCAUGUAUGAUCACUGAAUUUAAGCAACCUCAAGCUUGUUCAGUCCCUAGAUGGGUGACCACUUGGGAAAACCAGGUGCUGUAGG